GGAUUAGGCAUGCAAGUCGAGCGAGAAAGUUCCCUUUCGGGGGAUGAGUAAAGCGGCGAAAGGGUGAGUAACACGUAAUCAACCUACCCCCCAGACCGGAAUAACCAGCGGAAACGCUGGCUAAUGCCGGAUGGCCCCACGAUGUGGCAUCACGAUGUGGGUAAACGGUAGCCCUGCUUCUGCUGGGGGAGGGGAUUGCGGCCUAUCAGCUUGUUGGUGGGGUAACGGCCUACCAAGGCUAUGACGGGUAGCCGGUCUGAGAGGACGAUCGGCCACACUGGGACUGAGACACUGCCCAGACUCCUACGGGAGGCUGCAGUCGAGAAUCUUCCGCAAUGGGCGAAAGCCUGACGGAGCGACACCGCGUGCAGGAUGAAGGCCUUCGGGUUGUAAACUGCUGUCACGCUAUAGGAAUGUGCUGUCGUUAAUAGCGGCAGUGUUGACCAAAGCGAGAGGAAGCACCGGCUAACUCCGUGCCAGCAGCCGCGGUAAGACGGAGGGUGCAAACGUUGUUCGGAAUCACUGGGCAUAAAGCGCGCGUAGGCGGUUCACUCAGUCAGGUGUGAAAUCCCCCGGCUCAACCGGGGAACUGCACCUGAUACUGGUGGACUCGAGGAUGGUAGGGGUGAGCGGAACUCCAGGUGGAGCGGUGAAAUGCGUAGAUAUCUGGAGGAACACCGGUGGCGAAAGCGGCUCACUGGGCCAUCUCUGACGCUGAGGCGCGAAAGCUAGGGUAGCAAACGGGAUUAGAUACCCCGGUAGUCCUAGCCGUAAACGAUGGGCACUAAGUAGAGGGGUUUU
Molecule: ribosomal RNA, 801 nt
Filed under: uncultured Planctomycetota bacterium
Lineage: Bacteria; Pseudomonadati; Planctomycetota
Description: bacterial SSU rRNA
Rfam family: Bacterial small subunit ribosomal RNA
Source: RNAcentral